Long non-coding RNA from Nematostella vectensis (starlet sea anemone), 297 nucleotides. RefSeq lists it as uncharacterized. The transcript is spliced from 2 exons. Lineage: Eukaryota; Metazoa; Cnidaria; Anthozoa; Actiniaria; Edwardsiidae. The record is from RefSeq and is a predicted model, not a curated record.
AAGCGAAAAGCAAACUAGUUAACGGUUUGAUGGUCGCGCGCUUGCUUGGGUAUUCUGUGAUUAACUAGCGUGACAUCUAGACUAUCUGACCAGGAAAUCUUUAAAACUAGGUACCAUAGAUGAGCGAGUAAUGCAACCAAUGAAUUAUUGAACGAUCAAGAGAUUGAAUAUCUCGGAAGAAACUCUCUCUAUACAAGUAAUAUUUACUUCGGAACGGAGCUUUGUUUGACAGAUAUGAUAAAUUUUCCGGGACCUAGAACUGCUUAAUGUUUGACAGAUAAUAAAUAUUUUAUUCUU